CAAUAGAUGACGUUUCUAAGUAUUGAUCGCAAGGGAAGGGAUUGUUGUCGCGCUUUACACUUUCGGAAGGCGUUCGGUAAAGGUCCAUGCUGUUGCCUCAUGAACAAAAUACGAGCGUAUGAAAUAUCAGACCAGAUUUGUGAUUUGAGUGAGGAGUUCCUGACAAAUACAAUACAGCAUAACACAGUGUAUUUCACGAGUGCACAUCGUAAUAGUGAAAUAUGCAGCUAUACUUCAUAAAACUGAAAUAUGGACGUGAAAAUGGAAUAACUGCCACCACAGCGCAAGAAUGAUGCUUCAUCUUUAUAGUGAUUGGAUGUAUGUGCUGCCAUUGAAGACCACCACAUACAGCUGACCAGCAUAGGCGACACUCCGCACCAAUUAUGUGCUAGUACCAUUAUCUACCAAGGUUGAAACAUGAAGUAAAACUUGACUAACACAAGAUAUGCUAAGUCGAUGGCAAUACAAGGGCAAUAAAUAGGAACAUUGCUUUUAUUAAGUAGAUGAAUUUUAAUGAAUGAAUGCUAAUAUAAAAUAAUGAAGUUUAAUGUCUGUUAUACAUUGAUCAGCCAAAACACUAUGACCACACCCAAUUGCAACGUUGGAUGCCACCUUGUGGCGCUGCAUGUACGUAAUGUGGCAGCAAAAGUGCAAAGCAAACAUGGACAGGGAUAACUCUAGUGAAGAUACAUUAUCACACAGAGCCCAUGAAUGAGUAUCUCAAACAUGGUGCAGGUGGUCAAAUGAUAGCAUGCUACUGUUAUGAGCAUCUACAGAAAGAGGUAGAGAGAUAGUGAAACUACAACUAGGUGUUAAAUGAUUCAUGACCUGUGCAUAGAUGUGUAAUACCACCUCAAACUUACCAACACCUUGUUCAAUCCCUGAUACACAGAAUCAGUUGUAUAUUUUAUUCCAGCUACGAAGAAACAAGUUAACUAGGUGUUAAAUGAUUAAUGACCUGUGCAUAGAUGUCUAAUACCACCACAAACUUACCAACACCUUGUUCAAUCCCUGAUACACAGAAUCAGUGAUAUAUUUCAUUCCAGCUACGAAGAAGCAAGUUAAAUAGAUGUUAAAUGAUUCAUGACCUGUGCAUAGAUGUCUAAUACCACCACAAACUUACCAACACCUUGUUCAAUCCCUGAUACACAGAAUCAGUGAUAUAUUUCAUUCCAGCUACGAAGAAACAAGUUAAUGAACAGGUGGUCAUAAAGUUUUGGGUCAUCACUGUAUACGUAGAUGUUUCUGUUGAUUUAAGUUUAACCUGAUUCAUUUAUUUCUUGUGAUAUCUGUAACUGUUAGUGUUUUCAUAUAACUCAUUUACAAAUUUGCCAACCUAGAGUAAUUAGAAUGUAAAAGUAUAGAUUAUGUUGCUGUAUAUUUUUACCUGACAUGCUUGAAGGCUUAAAAAUAAAUGUUGAAUAAUGACAUACUAUUAACAA
This is a long non-coding RNA of Schistocerca serialis cubense, 1442 nucleotides long. RefSeq lists it as uncharacterized. The record is from RefSeq and is a predicted model, not a curated record. Lineage: Eukaryota; Metazoa; Arthropoda; Insecta; Orthoptera; Acrididae. The transcript has 2 exons.